Molecule: RNA transcript, 1878 nt
Organism: Scylla paramamosain (green mud crab)
Lineage: Eukaryota; Metazoa; Arthropoda; Malacostraca; Decapoda; Portunidae
Exons: 8
Source: RefSeq, a predicted model, not a curated record
AAAAUUAAUGUUUAUUUCUAAGUUUUUGUUUUUUUUCUUCUCAGUCCAACCAAUAAAUGGGUUAAUGGUUGAAGAUAGGUACAUGAACCCAUUUUUGCGCUUAUAGUAUCAAACAAUCUAAUUUUUUUCCAUAUUGAAUUGUUAUUAUAUAUUAUUAUUAAUAAUGUUGGGUAUUCAUAAAAAAAAAUUGAUGUCCUAAGCCAAUGUCAGGCUUAGGAGGUGAACGAGGAUUUGAUAAAAUAUACCAACUUUUAAUAAUUAUACAUUAUUCAUCCCAUGUUGAGCGAGAAGCUAGCAGAUUCCACCCUUGAUAUAUUGUUUAUAAUACAAAAUAAUCAAGUCAAGUGAUAACUGAGGAUAAAAUGUGAGACCUCCCGAGGGCGAGUCGGUACCAACAGCAGCAGAGCGAGGGAGCGGGCGAGAGUAAUGGUCGCCUUAUUUGUUGUGGUCUGCACUUCUUGGCCUCUUCCUCUCAUCUUUACAUUGCUUGCCUCUGUUCCCGGACAUGUCAUGAGCCAGGGAGUGAUGCUGCUAAGACCUUCACUGUCUAUCCAGAGGGAUCCACAGGUGCUGGUGGUGGAAUCUUGCUUGGACAGUGUGGAUGGCAAGCAGUCAGGGUUCCAGUCAAAGGUGGUGGUGAUCCAUGCCCAGGACACCAGGGAGGAUGCACUGCAGCUUGCAUCUCAGCUGAGGAAUCCCAUGGAGGGCAACAGAUUGUAUGUGUUGCUUCUGCAAGAGUCUAAGAAGAACACACAAGUUAAGAGCAGCCUGAGGUGUGAUCCAUGGAACAGCAUCCACAAGUGGUUCAUCAAGGUUGAUGCUGUGCUGCCGGUACUGUCGCCUCAGCUUCUGCGUCAGAUUCAGAACAGAGACUUCAGCAGAGAGAGUGAGUGGGAGAAACGCUACAACCGCUUUGCCCACUCGAUGAUGCUAGACCAGCAUGUGGAGUACGGGAGCAAGAAUGGGUUCUGCCGUGCCGUUUGUCCUGCCAGAUUCCCGGAGGAGACACACUUCAGUCACAAGAUGAAUGCAGUCAGCUACAGCAUGACAUAGACAAGCUAUAGACAGUUGAGAGAGGAAGAAGUCAGUGGCACCCUCACCUCAGACAAGACAAAGCUAACAAUUGAUAAUGAAAGACACACUUCAGUCACAAGAUGAAUGCAGUCAGCUACAGCAUGACAUAGACAAGCUAUAGACAGUUGAGAGAGGAAGAAGUCAGUGGCACCCUCACCUCAGACAAGACAAAGCUAACAAUUGAUAAUGAAAGACACACUUCAGUCACAAGAUGAAUGCAGUCAGCUACAGCAUGACAUAGACAAGCUAUAGACAGUUGAGAGAGGAAGAAGUCAGUGGCACCCUCACCUCAGACAAGACAAAGCUAACAAUUGAUAAUGAAAGACCAGCAGCAGCAGCAGCAGCAGCAGCAGCAGCAGCACACAAGAGGUGUUUUCUGUAUGAUGAUGAUAAUGGAAAAAAGCAUGUUAUAAGCAGGGCAACGUAAUGAAAUUCAGUGAAUGGACGUGUGUGCGUGGCUGCAAUCACUAUGAAAUUAAGUUGAAAAUAAGAAAUAUAUUACUUUACAGAAAGGAAUGCUUAGAGUGAAUGAAAUUACUGUAAUGAAUGAAUGGAAAUAAAGUUGUGAGUCAUUAAAUGAUUAGGAAAAGAAGCUGUGAAUAGGUGCAUUAUUGUUAUUACUGAAAGGAAGAAUAUUUGUAGGAUAUGUCAUGUAUAUUAUCAAAGUGUUUUCAUUCUUACUUUCUUCUUUCUCUUUCAUCUUUUCUUAGUAUAUUUAAGUGAAUCUCUCUCUCUCUCUCUCUCUCUCUCUCUCUCUCUCUCUCUCUCUCUCUCUCUCUCUCUCUCUCUCUCUCUCUCUCUCUC